CGGGCGGAUGUUUACGCCUUCACACUUCCGGCCGGCGGUCGGUCCGGGUCCGGGUUGUGUCGCGUGGCUGAGGGGCGGCUGCCGUGGGGGCUUCGCACCGCGGGUCGGCGGCUCUCGGAGUUCUGCAGCUCCCGCAGCGCGUCCCGUCCCGUCCGGUCCGGUCCCGUUCCGUCCGUCCGUCCGUCCGUCCGUCCCGCCGCGCUGAGAGCUUCGCGGAGCUGCGCCGGUGGCAGCGGGAGCGCUGUGACGUCAUCAGAACGCGCGAACUGCAAAAGCAUUGGAGAGAAGUUGGAUCGCAUCAAGGGUGCAUGUUUUUGGAUGCUGCUUCGGUAGGGAUGAGCAUAAGGAAGGAGAAGAAUACUUGGUGCCCUGCUUUACAACCUACAGUGAAGUACUGAAUGUGGAGGUUGGUGGUCCUGCCUGUGGUGGGGGGUUGGAACUUCAUGAUCCUUGGGGUCCCUUCCAACCCAACCAUUCUGUGGUUCUGUGAUUGUUCCCCUCUGAAUAACCCUUGUAUUUUGUGAGGUCUAUUAGUCUAACUCCCCUGAAGUGAUGCCCAACAAUGCCUUUCUUCUCCAAAUGCAUGAUGAGAAAGCGAAAUGAGCCCAGUGGUUACUGCUUGUGCAUAGUGAAUGUGCCCUGAAAUCCUUUCUUUUCAUGAUAAACUGUCCUCUGGAAUAAUGUCUCAGCACUGUGACAGUCCUGUCUCCAGCAUGCUGUGGAACCCUGCGUCUCUUCAAACCUGAGGUGCCUGUUUUCAUCAGCUUUUCUUUCCUUUCCUCUUCUGAGAGAGCACAGUGAGAUUCCCUGCACUGGGAGAACCAGCCAGGAUGCUGUCAGAAAGCCAAUCAGGCUUUGCGUCGCACAAAGGGACGUGAUGGUGAAGGACUCUUCUUAGCACCAAGGAAAUGAAAGUUUCUUGAGUCCUCUUCCUUAAAGUAUUAUAGAACGAAUUUUGAGUACUGCUUAUGAAAAUGGGCUUGAUAAUUUGAAGUUUAUUAAGACUGUGCUAAAAUCUUCCUCCGAAGCAAUGCUCUUGCUGCAUUGUCUCCCUUCUGUCUGAAGCUGAUGCAAGCAGCCUGCCACUGGAGCGCAGCCUGGCUGAAGGUCUGGGAAACAAGACAGAGGUUGAUAAGGCACCAAAGGAGAGGUACCUAUACUAAACAGGCACCUGGAUUUGAUGCACCGAUUUUCUGUUUCUGCUUUAGAUUUGUUCUUUCCUGUGGCUGUUCUCUUUGCAUGCUGCUGGAGGCCUUAACCCCCAGGACUGACGGCUUCCUUUCCUGUCCUGUUCUGAAAUGUGAACCUGAAGCUGACAUUUACACCUCCUCUGUGAUUUGUCCCAUUCUGCUUGGUAGUUAAGUCCCCAGAUCUCUGAAUGAAGGACUGGGAUUGCACUCAGUGUGAAGCAGAACAGGUAGUAGCUAGGUAUUACACCGGCCUUUCGUGAAAUAAGACUAUUUCCAUACAGCCUUAAAAAUUAACCUUCAAGGGUUAAAAAAAAUAAUCAUCACUUAUCCUCUUGCGUGCGUGCUGAAUCGCUCCUGACCACCGCUGUCAGGAAGCUGGCUCUAGGGGUGCAUUCAUUUUCUACUUCUUCCGUGAGCCAUCAUAAGACACAGAUGCUUGGGCAAAAGUAGAAUAAAAGCAUGCCAUGAGCAGAAGUUUGGGAUGCUGAUGCUGAGAUGCAGUCUGAGAAAGUAAUGAAACAGACCAACGUUUUGUACAGUAGCUGUGGGUCUAUGAAGGGGCUCUUGGGGAGGUGGGCUGCAAACUGGCUGAAGGAAAGAAGCCAGAGUUGUGGUCAGUGAGACAGUCUAGUUGGAGGCCUGUAUCUGGUGGAGUCCAUCAAGAGUCAGUACUAAGACCUGCACUAUUCCAUAUAUUCAUCAAUGACUUGGAUGAGGGAAUAAAGUGCAGUGUCAGGAGGUUUGCUGAUGACACAAAGCUGGGAGGAGUGGCUGAAUGCCAGAAGGCUGUGCUGCCAUCCAUAGAGACCUGGACAGGCUGGAGAGCUGGGCAGGGAGAAAUUGAAUGAAAUAGAACAAGGGCAAGUUUAGGGUGUUGCAGCUGGGCAAGAACAACCCCAGGUGCCAGGAUAGGUUGGGGACUGAGCUGUUGGAGAACAGCGUACGGGAAGGGGACCUGGGGGUCCUGGUGGACUGCAGGAGGACCAUGAGCCAGCACUGUGCCCUUGUAGCCAAGAAAGCCAAUGGCAUCCUGGGAUGUAUUGUAGGGGCUGUCGUUAGCAGGGCAAGAGAGGUUCUCCUCCACCUCUACUCUGCCCUGGUGAGACCACAUCUGGAGUACUGUGUCCAGUUCUGGGCCCCUCCAAUCCAAGGGUGGGGAACUGCUUGAGAGAGUCCAGAACAGAGACACAGAGGUGAGGAAGGGAAUGCAGCACCUCCCUUACAAGGAGAGGCUGAGGGAGCUGAGUCUCUUUAGAUUGGAGGAGGCUGAGGGUGACCUCAUUAAUGUUUAUAAAUAUGUAAGGGGUGAGUGUCAGGAGGAUGGAGCCAGGCUCUUCUCAGUGACAUCCAGUGAUAGGACAAGGGGCAAUGGGUGCAAACUGGAACACAGGAGGAUCCACAUAAAUACGAGAAGAAACUUCUUCAUGGUGAGAAACAGAACACUGGAAUGGGCUGCCCAGGAAGGUGGUGGGGUCUCCUUCUGUGGAGACAUUCAGAACAUGUUCCUGGGUGCCCUGAUCCAGGUGUUCCUGCUGACCAGGUGCUGCCAGCAGGGGGAUUGGACCGGGUGAUCUUCCAAGGUCCCUUCCAAGCCCUGACACUGUGAUUCUGUGAUUCGAGCUGUGUAAGAAGAGAUGGUGUGAUGGAGCUGAGAGCUCCAAUGCUGCGCAGAUUGUGCACUGUAGCCCUUCCGUGUCUCCUUGUUGACACAAGGAAAUAAACACAUGGAGGAAACAGAGGAACUCAUGGUUCUUCAUUUCUGCUGCUGACAAAAGGAAUGCCUUAUUUACUUGUUUUUAAGCACCUGGAAGAGAAGAGGGGAGUGCAAUUGAACAGGGCUUCUCCUGAAGACAUGCACUUCUUUUGAGCUCUCAUGGAUUUAAUCUAUCAGACAAGAAGGGUAUUGUGAAAUCCCCAGGAAGUGGUCUAACAGAACAGGCCAGAGCUUCAUGUUUGAGGAACUCAGACUGCCUGUAAAUGCUGCAGAGGGGAGCUGGGGUGACUUUCUGUUGCAUAACAAGAAUGCGGCUGAUGAGAGGCGGAGUGCAUUGCUGGGACAAUGCAGCUUUCCAUGUUGGAAAAGCAAAGUUUUGGAAAAGUGUUUCCAUGGCAAAAAAGUGCAUCUUCUCAUAGGCAAAUGUCAGUGAACCAAAUGGUGUUAACAUGCUUUUGGAAGGAUUAACCCUUUUGAAAGGAUUAUCCAUCAGACACUCUUAAUGAAAUCACCCUUGAUUUAUUUAUUCUUGUCCUAUUCUUACAUGUGUUUUGCUUCUUUCCAACCCUCUGAAGCAAAGAGCCAUGAGAUAAUGAGCAAGUUGUAAAAGACAGAUGGGGAAGAGGAGCUUCAGAAGGAUGUGGCAGCUGUGCCAUCAGCUGUUGAAGAAGCAGUCAAAGGUAAAACUCCAGAAACUUGAAGGCCUGAAUCCACCCUGGUUUCGGGGUCAGCCCAUCAGCUUGCCAGGAGGUUACUGGAGAAAUCUCAGGGGGUUUUCUUGAAAGUUCGGGAAAAAACUUAUAAAUCAAUGCUUCUAAAUAUCAAAAUGGUGAGGCAUCACAGCAUCACAGAAUGGUUGGGUUGGAAGGGACCCCAAGGAUCACGAAGCUCCAAACCCCCACCACACACAGGGCCACCAACCUCCACACUCAAUACCAGCCCAGGCUGCCCACGGCCCCAUCCAACCUGGCCUUCAACACCUCCACGGAUGGACGGGGCAUCCACAGCCUCUCUGGGCAGCUGUUCCAGCACCUCCCCACUCUCUCUGUCAAGAACUUCCCCCUCACAUCCAACCUCAACCUGCCCUCCUUCAGCUUAAACCAUUGCCCCCUGUCCUGCUCUUAUCUCCCCUCUCAAAGAGUUGCCUCCCCUCCUGUUUGGAGGCUCCCUUUAGGUCCUGGAAGGCUGCAAUGAGCUCACCCCGCAGCCUUCUCUUCUCCAGGCUCAACAAGCCCAGCUCCCUCAGCCUGUCUUUGUAGGGGAGGUGCUGCAGCCCUCUGAGCAUCUUUGUGGCCUCCUCUGGACCCUCUCC
This 4216-nucleotide long non-coding RNA is filed under the name Gallus gallus (chicken). Lineage: Eukaryota; Metazoa; Chordata; Aves; Galliformes; Phasianidae. The record is from RNAcentral.